UAGCCGUAAACGAUACUCGCUAGGUGUCGGCCACGGUGCGACCGUUGUCGGUGCCGUAGGGAAGCCGUGAAGCGAGCCACCUGGGAAGUACGGCCGCAAGGCUGAAACUUAAAGGAAUUGGCGGGGGAGCACCACAACGGGUGGAGUUUGCGGUUUAAUUGGAUUCAACGCCGGAAAUCUUACCGGGACCGACAGCAACAUGAAGGCCAGGCUGAAGACUUUGCCGGAUUAGCUGAGAGGAGGUGCAUGGCGUAGUCGUGU
This 261-nucleotide ribosomal RNA is filed under the name uncultured archaeon. Its description in RNAcentral is "partial 16S ribosomal RNA". It matches the Rfam family "Archaeal small subunit ribosomal RNA", at positions 748 to 1009 of the family's 1478-position model. The record is from RNAcentral.